AUAAAACAAGUUUCUGCAACAACAAAAUUGUUGUACACUUAAAAUUUCAUUUAAGUGAGUUACUUACUAAUUCAGUUUCGAUUUCGUAGUUGGAAAUUGAAAAGACAACCUUGACAUCGCAGUGAUUAUUCAUAAGCUGGUGAAAAUGUGGUGGCUUCUAAUUGCUGUCAUCACACUUCUAUAUGCUUUAUACAUCCGUCUAAAGAACAAAAACCAAUACUGGAUCAAAAAAGGGGUCAAACAGGGCUCCCCUGUUCUCAUAUUUGGGGACAAAUGGCGAGCAAUUGCACACGAUCAGUCUUUAGCAGACAUGGUUCAAAAUGUCUACAACGUGGGUCCAGGCGACAGAUAUUGCGGGGCUUAUGACUUCAUGUCACCGGCACUCGUAUUAAAAGACCCAGAUUUGAUUAAGGACAUCUUAGUCAAAGAUUUUGACCAUUUUGUUGACCAUAAACGGGUCAUACCAGAAGGAAGUGAUCCAAUUUGGGACAAAAAUUUGUUUUUCCUGACUGGGGAAAAAUGGCGUGAGAUGCGAUCAACUCUCAGCCCAGUUUUUACAGGAUCAAAAAUGAGGUUUAUGUUUAAUUUAAUUACGAAAAGUGCCAAACAAUUCGUGCAGCAUUUCUUAAAACAAGAAGAUAAAAUAAUCCCUGUAGAGAUGAAAGAUGUAUGUGCUAGACUAACCAAUGACAUUAUCGCAAGCACAGUUUUUGGCUUUGAGAGUGAUUCGUUGGAAGACCCCGAUAGUAAAUUUUAUGAAAUGGCGAGGAAAAUCACUGACUUUAGUGGACUUUGGCAAGGCCUCAAGCUUCUAGGCUUUUUCAUCUUUCCAAAAUUGUAUAAAACUUUAAAAAUCAAAAUUUUAUCAACGGAAAUUUCAAAUUUCUUUUACAAAAUUGUUAAAGAAAACAUUAGGAGCAGACAAUUACAAAAUAUAUCAAGACCAGACAUGAUCAGUUUACUGAUGGAAGCUCGUGAAAAUCAUCAAUUAAUCCAGGGUAUUGAAAUAAGUGAUGAAGACGUGACUGCUCAAGCUCUCGUCUUCUUUUUCGCUGGUUUUGACUCAGUUUCUUCUUUGAUGACUUUCAUGUCGUACGAAUUAGCCUUAAACCCUGAUGUUCAGAAAAAAUUAAUUGAAGAAAUCGACAAGAAUACGAAAACUUUAGACUACGAUGUGAUCAAAAGCCUGAAAUAUUUGGAUAUGGUUGUAUCAGAAAGUUUAAGAAAGUGGCCAAUUACACCUUUUGUGAACAGAGUAUGCACAAUCCCUUACACCAUAAAGCCAAAAACACCAAAUGAAAAUCCCAUACACUUAAAAAAAGACGCAAUCGUGUUUCUACCAAUUUAUGGACUUCAUCAUGAUCCCAAAUAUUUUGAAGAUCCGGAACGUUUUGAUCCAGAACGAUUUAGUGAUGAAAACAAGUCGAAAAUAAUACCAUACACUUAUAUGCCUUUUGGGGCAGGACCAAGGAAGUGUAUUGGUUACAGAUUUGCUUUAUUAGAAAUUAAAAUUUUAUUUUUUUAUUUAUUAUCUAAUUUUGAAAUUGUCACAAUAAAUAAAACCGCAAUUCCGGUGAAAAUGUGCAAGAAAGCUCUCAAUAUGACUCCCGAGGGUGGCUUGUGGCUUGGUUUAAAACGACGAAAAUAAAUUUAUUGUAAAUAAUCUUACUCAUUUAACGCCUCAGUUUAAUGUGAUUUUUUGAUACUUUGUUUGCAUUUUAUUGGCAUUUAAUGGUUGUUAAUAAUGGGAAUAAAUAAUUUCCUGCGUAAAGUUUUAUUAGUUUCAAAAUUUCCGCCCUAUGCGGUUGCCGGAUAUUUCCGUUACGGUCGCCAUGACACUUUUCCUCUUGCUGUGACGCCUUGAUGCUCGAUGCAUCACGCUUAUCGUCACUCGAAUAAAUGUUUUGAAAAUCAUACAAUUUCAGUGAAGUUUUAGUGUUGAUUUUACGACUUUUAAUUAUAUUGAGCAAAUAUAAAGAAAUAAUUACAUUUACGAAAGGUUUUAACCAAAUAAGCUAUGGCGUACAAUACCCGAAGAAGUGGCGGCGAGGCCAUAAGUACAGUUGGGGCACGUCGAAAUCCUCCAAUCACCAACAAUUUCAUUCCUGGUGGGCAGGUGUCAACGGGCAAUAAAGCUACACAGAGCCUGGGUAGUGGUACUGUUAUAGGCACCUCAUUGUUUAAUGUUCCUCCAGCAAACAUUACAGCUCCUAAGCCGUGUUAAUUUUGCUGCAUAUGUUUCGGUGCGAUUCGAUGCAUAUGCGCAAGAAGUAAGGAAAAUCUGUAAUCUUUGGUGGUUGAACAAGAAUGUGUACCUUGGCGCAUUGUUUCAAAAUUUGUUUGAUAGGAAACAAUCAAGGCAUCAAACAAAUCUUGCAAAAUAACAAUUUUGGUCAAGGUAUUGUUGACUUGAAAUCUUUAACUGUACGUCACAGCUAAAGAUGCACCUAUACCGGUGCGCACAACCAAGAAGGUUUUAACCAAAAUUAAACCUGCUCUAUAGCUGGCGCCCCAGAACAGGCCUCCGCAACCCAGAAUGCA
RNA transcript from Tribolium madens (black flour beetle), 2541 nucleotides. It is a transcript of the gene named double-stranded RNA-specific editase 1-like, with no coding region annotated. The record is from RefSeq and is a predicted model, not a curated record. Lineage: Eukaryota; Metazoa; Arthropoda; Insecta; Coleoptera; Tenebrionidae. The transcript has 7 exons.